Molecule: transfer RNA, 69 nt
Filed under: Urocitellus parryii (Arctic ground squirrel)
Lineage: Eukaryota; Metazoa; Chordata; Mammalia; Rodentia; Sciuridae
Also listed under: 1 other name
Description: Spermophilus parryii (Arctic ground squirrel) tRNA
Rfam family: tRNA
About the family: Transfer RNA (tRNA) molecules are approximately 80 nucleotides in length.
Source: Rfam by way of RNAcentral
GGAGUUGUGGCUCAGUGGUAGAGCGCCUGCCUAGCAUGCAUGAAGCAAUGGGUUUGAUUCUCAGCACCA